UCAGCAGGUUCAAAGCCCUCCAGCUUCGGUCACAUUCCAGUCAGUCAGCAUCAGCUCACAACAGCAGAGUGGACUUGACAACAGAGGGUAAGUUUACUGCCCCAAACAUUACACACAAUACUGUCAAUGUUUGACACUUCAUGUCAUCUAUAAUUGUUAAUCUUUUACAUUCUGAGCUGGUAUGAAAUCGGCAAAAUGCUUGGUGAGGGAGGAUUCGGCUAUGUCUAUGAAGGGAAACGCUUGGAGAUUGUCGUUGAGGUGGCAGUGAAAAUUACCAACAAGCCAAGGAACAUGAAAUACAUCUAUGUUUUAAGUAGGCUACACUCACCGCGCAAACAUACUGACAACAUUUUUGUCCAAGACUGGACUAAAGUCCUUACUUGAAAAAACAGCUCCAUCUAACAAUGAUCUUUCUUCAGGCCUGGUCAUCCUGCACCUCUUCCAUUACAGGCUGGCUUUUAACUCCUUGUUAAUUAAGAGUCCAGAGUUACUGAGAUCAAUCAGCUGCUGGACUGGCAGGACCAGCUUGAAUGUUACAUCAUGGUCUCAGACCCUGCUAAGAUGUGUACAAUUAUACCAUGCUUCAGGGAGGCUUCGUGAGCGAGGUCACAGCACAGUUUAUCAUGGCACAGGCAACACAGGCCACUCACAUGUGCUGUCAAUGAGGAGUAUUUCACCGGGACAUAAAGAUGGAGAACCUUCUGAUCAACCCAGAAACGAUCGAGGUCAAACUGAUUGACUUUGGGUGUAGGGAUCUCCUGCAAGACUCUGGCUAUGAGCAAUGUUGUGUGAAAAUUUGUAGUAUUUUAAGCUUACGUCAAAGCAAAAUCUCAUUCCUUCGGGCACAUCAGAGUACUGCCCACCUGAGUACUACGUGGACAAACAGUACCAUAGGAAACCAACUAUUGUAUGGUCUCUGGGAAUGCUCUUGUUUUUGUUGGUCAAAGACAGAGCUGACUGGUUACAGCGUCUGGUUGAACAGUAAGAUGCCAUUCAUCACAACAAAGAAGACCAACUGUAAAUGAAAUCAUGCAAAACAAGGAAACAGAGGAACAGGUAAAACACUUAGGCCAAGUAGCUAUAUAAAAGAUGGAUAAUACAGAAAUUGUACUUUUUUUCUGAUUGUACAGUGUAGAAUGGUCAGAUCUUACAGCUUAAUACAAAGAGAGCAGUUUAUGGUAAUAAUCUGACUCUCUCAUCUCUUCCUCUCUGUAGCCAAAUUUAUUUUCUAAUUAUAAUGUAUGUAGGCAAUAACCCUGAUUUCAGUAUACUUUAUUUUUUGCUGCAGGUCACCAAACAGCCACGGACGCCUCAGAGGUUCCUCCAUUUGCCGUCACACAGUUGUCAGUCUCAGCUGCUCCAUCAGUUUAGUGCCUGCUGUCUGCUGGUCUCUCAAUGACUUAGCAUGCCAAACCCUGGUAGCAUCUGGUGCCUUGGUUUGAGCCAGUAAUAUUUGUGUCUGGCAGUAUUACUUGCAUAUAUGGUGACCCCUUAUAUAAAUGUAGUGUAAAUGGUAUUUUAAAAAUGUUGUUAUUUUUGUCUCCAGUUACAAUAGCUAUUUGCCACCAUCUUUGUUUAAAUGAAAAUGUAGUCAGAGUAUACGGAAACUACAGAAUACAUAGAAGUCUUCAUUUUAAAAUAAAGUUUUGUUUUUGGUAACA
Molecule: long non-coding RNA, 1661 nt
Organism: Cyprinus carpio (common carp)
Lineage: Eukaryota; Metazoa; Chordata; Actinopteri; Cypriniformes; Cyprinidae
Source: Ensembl